UACGUAGGGUGCAAGCGUUGUCCGGAAUUAUUGGGCGUAAAGAGUUCGUAGGCGGUCUGUCGCGUCGGCUGUGAAAACUCGGGGCUCAACCCCGAGCCUGCAGUCGAUACGGGCAGACUAGAGUGCUGUAGGGGAGACUGGAAUUCCUGGUGUAGCGGUGAAAUGCGCAGAUAUCAGGAGGAACACCGGUGGCGAAGGCGGGUCUCUGGGCAGUAACUGACGCUGAGGAGCGAAAGCGUGGGGAGCGAACAGG
This 253-nucleotide ribosomal RNA is filed under the name uncultured bacterium. Its description in RNAcentral is "partial 16S ribosomal RNA". It matches the Rfam family "Bacterial small subunit ribosomal RNA", at positions 524 to 776 of the family's 1533-position model. The record is from RNAcentral.